RNAcentral lists this ribosomal RNA (550 nucleotides) under uncultured bacterium. Its description in RNAcentral is "bacterial SSU rRNA". It matches the Rfam family "Bacterial small subunit ribosomal RNA", at positions 355 to 896 of the family's 1533-position model. The record is from RNAcentral.
UAGGGAAUCUUCGGCAAUGGACGGAAGUCUGACCGAGCAACGCCGCGUGAGUGAAGAAGUUUUUCGGAUCGUAAAGCUCUGUUGUAAGAGAAGAACGAGUGUGAGAGUGGAAAGUUCACACUGUGACGGUAUCUUACCAGAAAGGGACGGCUAACUACGUGCCAGCAGCCGCGGUAAUACGUAGGUCCCGAGCGUUGUCCGGAUUUAUUGGGCGUAAAGCGAGCGCAGGCGGUUAGAUAAGUCUGAAGUUAAAGGCUGUGGCUUAACCAUAGUAGGCUUUGGAAACUGUUUAACUUGAGUGCAAGAGGGGAGAGUGGAAUUCCAUGUGUAGCGGUGAAAUGCGUAGAUAUAUGGAGGAACACCGGUGGCGAAAGCGGCUCUCUGGCUUGUAACUGACGCUGAGGCUCGAAAGCGUGGGGAGCAAACAGGAUUAGAUACCCUGGUAGUCCACGCUGUAAACGAUGAGUGCUAGGUGUUAGACCCUUUCCGGGGUUUAGUGCCGUAGCUAACGCAUUAAGCACUCCGCCUGGGGAGUACGACCGCAAGGUUG